CCUCCAACCAUCCGGGCACGUAUAUAAUUCUCUUUUUUCUUCUCAGCAUAUCUUCUUGUAAUGUUCUUUCACAUUUACCACAUUGAGGAUAGUUUUAAAUAUGGCGUCUUACCUGUGCCGAGAAAAAAAGAAAAGGAUAAACGAUCAAAGUGAAAGGUGAAAGGCUGGGGAAUUGAAAUGCAGGAAUGCGACCUUUAUCCUUGAGGAAACCUGUAAAAUAAUAGAACGACGUUACUAUACAGAGUUUAUUUUAGAAAUGUAUAUAUACUCCAAUGAAAAUAUUACGAAAAA
RNAcentral lists this long non-coding RNA (291 nucleotides) under Polistes fuscatus (common paper wasp). RNAcentral's name for it is "uncharacterized LOC122515547". The record is from RNAcentral. Lineage: Eukaryota; Metazoa; Arthropoda; Insecta; Hymenoptera; Vespidae.